This 425-nucleotide ribosomal RNA is filed under the name uncultured bacterium. Its description in RNAcentral is "partial 16S ribosomal RNA". It matches the Rfam family "Bacterial small subunit ribosomal RNA", at positions 354 to 796 of the family's 1533-position model. The record is from RNAcentral.
GUGGGGAAUAUUGGGCAAUGGGCGAAAGCCUGACCCAGCAACGCCACGUGAAGGAAGAAGGUUUUCGGAUCGUAAACUUCUAUCCUUGGUGAAGAUAAUGACGGUAGCCAAGAAGGAAGCCCCGGCUAACUACGUGCCAGCAGCCGCGGUAAUACGUAGGGGGCAAGCGUUGUCCGGAAUGAUUGGGCGUAAAGGGCGCGUAGGCGGCCCGGUAAGUCUGAAGUGAAAGUCCUGCUUUUAAGGUGGGAAUUGCUUUGGAUACUGUCGGGCUUGAGUGCAGGAGAGGUAAGCGGAAUUCCCGGUGUAGCGGUGAAAUGCGUAGAGAUCGGGAGGAACACCAGUGGCGAAGGCGGCUUACUGGACUGUAACUGACGCUGAGGCGCGAAAGUGUGGGGAGCAAACAGGAUUAGAUACCCCGGUAGUCC